This 30-nucleotide non-coding RNA is filed under the name Mus musculus (house mouse). The record is from RNAcentral. Lineage: Eukaryota; Metazoa; Chordata; Mammalia; Rodentia; Muridae.
GCCAGGAAGUAGGCACAAAGUAACCCAGGA